RNAcentral lists this ribosomal RNA (405 nucleotides) under uncultured bacterium. Its description in RNAcentral is "partial 16S ribosomal RNA". It matches the Rfam family "Bacterial small subunit ribosomal RNA", at positions 30 to 526 of the family's 1533-position model. The record is from RNAcentral.
AUUGAACGCUAGCGGGAUGCUUUACACAUGCAAGUCGAACGAGUGGCGGACGGGUGAGUAAUAUAUCGGAACGUGCCCAGUAGCGGGGGAUCACUACUCGACAGAGUGGCUAAUACCGCAUACUCUUGGAGCGGCCGAUAUCGGAGUAGCUAGUUGGUGGGGUAAAGGCUCACCAAGGCAACGAUCUGUAGCUGGUGUGAGAGGAAGACCAGCCACACUGGGACUGAGACACGGCCCAGACUCCGACGGGAGGCAGCAGUGGGGAAUUUUGGACAAUGGGGGAAAGCCUGAUCCAGCCAUGCCGCGUGUAUGAGAAGGCCUUCGGGUUGUAAAGUACUUUUGGCAGAGAAGCGGUAUCUGCAGAAUAAGCACCGGCUAACUACGUGCCAGCAGCCGCGGUAAUAC